AUCGCUUCUCGGCCUUUUGGCUAAGAUCAAGUGUAAAAUUUAAAUUAAAAAAAAUUUAGAUACAAAAGUGAAAGCCUUGAGAGGACAAGAAUCUCCUCCUAAAGUCUAACUUCU
This 114-nucleotide small nuclear RNA is filed under the name Fukomys damarensis (Damara mole-rat). Its description in RNAcentral is "U2 spliceosomal RNA". It matches the Rfam family "U2 spliceosomal RNA". From Rfam's summary of the family: U2 is a small nuclear RNA (snRNA) component of the spliceosome (involved in pre-mRNA splicing). Complementary binding between U2 snRNA (in an area lying towards the 5' end but 3' to hairpin I) and the branchpoint sequence (BPS) of the intron results the bulging out of an unpaired adenosine, on the BPS, which initiates a nucleophilic attack at the intronic 5' splice site, thus starting the first of two transesterification reactions that mediate splicing. Lineage: Eukaryota; Metazoa; Chordata; Mammalia; Rodentia; Bathyergidae. The record is from Rfam by way of RNAcentral.